Molecule: long non-coding RNA, 3442 nt
Filed under: Sus scrofa (pig)
Lineage: Eukaryota; Metazoa; Chordata; Mammalia; Artiodactyla; Suidae
Description: lncRNA (ENSSSCG00000059365.1)
Source: RNAcentral
GUUUGCAAUUAAUCCAUUGAUCUCAGUAGAAAACCCUAUUGUAUCAGGGCCCGCCAGGAGAAAGCUGCAUCCUGCCCCUCUCCCGCCCUGCACAGAAUGUUCAUUGAAGUCAACCCCCAAAUUGAUGGCAGGAUAUGGCCCUAAAAGCCUCCAAAUUAAAGGGGUCCAGAAAAUAAUGUUGGCUGAGCAGCGGAAGCUGGGGUGGGGGAGGCGGACGAGAAUGGGGGAAGGGGCUGGGUUUCCUCUGGAAUCCAUGGGUGCGAGCAGAGUGGCAGGGCGUAGAGUUCCUGGUUGCCCUUGACUCUCAGUUCUCCUUAGUUAGUUCCGCAGCUUCAGAACCAUAGCUAUGGAGUUUGCUGACCAGCUUUUUGUUGAUGCCGUUGCCACUGAUGAAACUGACGAUGAUACUCAGUGGGAUCUUCUGGGGAUGGAAGAAGAGGGACCCCUGGCUCCUCUUCUUCCUCUUGCCUUCUUCUCAAACAGGUCUUGGUGACGGUGAUGGAGAUGAUGAGCAUUGUCUCUUUUUGAGUGGGCCCCACCUGUCACAGGCUUUACACAUUCUUUUUCAUUUAACCCUUCAAACCCUGGAGGGGAGCAGGGCUGGUCAGUUAAAAUAAUCCAGGACACAGUAGCGCAGUCCAGGAGUCUUCAGGAGGCAUUAAGCAUCACUCAGUUUGCAAAGUAUCUAUUCCCCAGAGCUUCUUCAAGGUGAUGGUUGGAAGGAAGAGUUAGAUAAGCAGUGUGGACGGAGGAGGGAGCCCCAAAGUUGCCUAGACUGUCUUCCAUGAGGGUGGGUUAGAUGCUUGCUGGACUUUGUUUUGUUGAAUGGAGUAUACGGUGGGAUGCUGCCAUCCUUGGAUACCACACCUGCUUGUGAGUUUGUGCGCUGGUAACAUAUACCAUGCACGUUACAUGUACCGUCUGCAUGUGUAUGUGUGGGAGCCCUAUUAUGUAUAACAUCAUGUGGACAACUCUGCAUGUCAGACCUACCUUAGUCCCUGUUUUCAACUCUCCCCUCAUUCAAUAUGUUCUCUCUUCUAAAUACAAAGCCUUCAAAGAACACCUGUAAUAUCAGUUUGGUCCUGUUGGUGGGUAUUAUUUUCAUUUUACAAUUGAAGAAGUUGAGAUGUCCUGAGAUGGAAUGAUGUACUUAAGGACACAUGAUUAAGUAGUUGAUUCUGAUCCAAUAAGAGGGUAUGCUCUAGGAAAACCAAGAUACUUUUAGUCUUAUUCAGAGAUACAGCUCCAAUAUCUAUAAACCUAUAUGCUACCUGUAAUCUAAUGUGGUGCAUGGCAUGUUGACAGUGCUCAAAAAAUAUUUGUUGCUGUAUUUUGCUCCUUUCUAGGAUAUGUGUAGCCCUGAAUCUUCUCUCCCUGCAUGGCUGCUUUACUACAGUUUGUCAGGUCCUUAUAUUUUUCAGUAAUUCUUCCACAAGGAUCUUCUGGUAAAUCCCCCAUAAAGGGGGGAAGGAGUGAAGCGGCUUUCUUCAGACAAAUAACAAAGGUAUACCUCCUUUGAUCAGAAAGCAAGAGUUAAAACAUUCCUAAAGUUUCUCAUUUUGCCUUGGCUUUCAGGGAGUUCACAAUUAAAUAUGGUGCUCGAUUUCAUACUAUCGUCGAGUUAGAUUUUGGGUACAAUUUUUUUUCAUGCAUUCUGUGGUUUCACUUUCUCUCUCUCUGUAUAUGGUUUAAUUUUACAGGUGUCUUUUUGGAGGUAGAGAAGACAUAGUCUAAUAAUAAUAGUGUCCUUGUUGUCCGUAGGGCUUAUGGUGUUCAGCACCUCCUAUUUGUCCAAGACCUCUACUCUGAAGUCUUACCCAAGCCCAGACUUUGCUGUCAACGUCAUAGUUCAUCUACACCAGUACUUCUUUAUUGGGGUGGAGGUGGAGUGGUUUUGCCUUCAAGGGACAUUUGGCAAUGCCUGGAGGCAUCUUUGGUUGUCACUGGCAGGUAGUGGGAAGAGACCAGGGAUGCUACCUAACAUCCUGCAAAUGCAUAGAACAGCCUUCACAGCAAAGAAUUGACCAACCCCAAAUGUCAGUGGGGACUAGUGUUGAGAAACUCUGAUCUAUACAUGUCAACUGUCAUGGAGCAUCUCAUGGCAAGAACUUGAACUUCAUCCCUUUUUCUCUCUUCUUAGCUGAGAAUGCUCAAGGAAUGCCUUCAGCCAGCCUUACCAUAUGUUCUUUGCUGGGCAGGUUACCCACUCCCAUUCCCCCCACCCCCCAACGUCUGUCUUGUUUACCUACCACAGGAACCCAGGCAAAUGAGGACACACUCCCUCUUAUUCAUCUUCUCAUCUUUGAUUUUUGCACAGGUCCUAGAAUGGAGACUUUUCACUUAAGGUACACACUCAUAUCUUUGGCAUUGAGAGAAAAGAGGUAAUUUCAGAAUGAAAAAAAUUUUUUUUCUGAUUGUCUUGAAUUACACAGUUCCAAAGAGGGAGUUAAUAAAAACAUAGCUCCACAGAGUCUGUAUGUGGAUUGUUUUGGACAGAGGGUAGAUUUUUUUGCUGCAGUAGCAUCAUUGUGAUGACAGUAUCUCCACAUCCACCCUGUGUUCCCUGUGUCUCUGCCACCCUGUGUUCUCUUCAUUGACUGUCAGUAGCAUCAGUCCUUUGGGCCAAAGGACAAUUUUAUUGCCACAAUCUAGACUCUACUCCAUCCUGCUACCCUCACGAUCUCUCAGCUAAAUUUUUUUUUUCCCUCAUAUCAAGUUGCCUUGUCUAAAUUUCUGGAUAUCUGCCUCCCUUUCCCUGAUUAACACCUCAGGCUCUUCCUGGGGUAAAGCUCAGACUUGAACUCAGGCGUCAUGAGUUGGAACCCUACUGCCAAGUCUCUUUUCCUUGGAAUGGGCAGGGGGUGGGAAGAUGCUGGCUCCUGCUUUUCCUAAUCAUCCUCCAUUGAUAAAGUCCUUCCUGCUAUGAAGCACGAAUGGAAUGAUUUCCAGGGCCCACUUGACUUUGACCAUUACCUCUGGCUGUGUCCCAGUAGAGACAGGACCCCUUUGGUCCUGCUCUUGGGGGAGACGAGCUCAGGCUCAUGUAAUCAAUUAGAUACCAAUUCACUCAAUAGCACUUAAGAUUUGGGGCAAAAGUCCCGAUUGCCAAGUACUCUCGUUGGGCUCACAAGAGAUUAGAAAGUCCCAUCACUAGCUCACAAAGAGACCAAUUGGAAACAUACUGUGUUCUGCUUAAGCACUAUGAUUAAAGUGGUGGGAGGGCACUCAACUCAGCCUAGGGAAUGUGGUCAGGGAAGCUUUCUUGGAGGGGGGUGUGCAUGAGCCACGUGUUAAAGGGCUUCUGUUGGCUUAAACCAGCUCCUCUAACCAGACUGGUCUCCCCAGCAACUGUAUCACACUGGUUCUCUUCCUCCUCAUUUUCUCAGCAAUCACUCCCAACAACAUAUGUGUUACUAUACUUGUGGCAAUUCUCUUUUCCUAG